This 470-nucleotide ribosomal RNA is filed under the name uncultured bacterium. RNAcentral describes it as "bacterial SSU rRNA". It matches the Rfam family "Bacterial small subunit ribosomal RNA", at positions 26 to 507 of the family's 1533-position model. The record is from RNAcentral.
ACGAGGACGACGCUGGGCGGCGUGCUUAAAACAUGCAAGUCGAACGGACUUCUCAUGAAGCUUGCGAUUGAGAAGUUAGUGGCGGACGGGUGAGUAACGCGUGGGCAACCUGCCCCUGAGCCCGGGAUAACAGUUCGAAAGGACUGCUAAGACCGGAUAUACUUGCGGGGAAGCAUUUCUCUGUAAGGAAAGGGAACGCUCAGGGAUGGGCCCGCGUCCCAUUAGCUAGUUGGUGAGGUAACGGCCCACCAAGGCGACGAUGGGUAGCCGGCCUGAGAGGGUGAACGGCCACACUGGGACUGAGACACGGCCCAGACUCCUACGGGAGGCAGCAGUUGGGAAUCUUCGGCAAUGGGCGCAAGCCUGACCGAGCAACGCCGCGUGAGUGAUGAAGGUUUUCGGAUUGUAAAGCUCUGUCUUCCGGGACGAUAAUGACGGUACCGGAGGAGGAAGCCACGGCUAACUACGUG